Electrophorus electricus (electric eel) is the source of this 307-nucleotide long non-coding RNA. RefSeq lists it as uncharacterized. The record is from RefSeq and is a predicted model, not a curated record. NCBI's taxonomy places the organism in Eukaryota, Metazoa, Chordata, Actinopteri, Gymnotiformes, Gymnotidae.
GUUAGUUCAGGACUGAAAACAUCCAGAGGAAGAGUAGGACUCUCAGUUUAACAUCCGGAUUAAUUUGUGACAAGAAUUUGCGGCAGAUGCGACAGGACCAGAGAGAAUUUCUACCCGCGGCUGAGACGAGUGCUAAGAGCAGGAGAGGAGGAGCUGCCGUUCUGGCUGCAAGGCAGCCGCUGGACACCGGAUGGCAGCCUUGCCCCAUGAACGCAAGGAGGGCCUCGCUGAGCCGCUCUCACACCCCUACGGCGCUCCUCCACGCCGGCGACAAGGUCAAAUGCAGUACCGCCGCUCGGCCUCCCGA